RNAcentral lists this ribosomal RNA (427 nucleotides) under uncultured Enterobacter sp. RNAcentral's name for it is "bacterial SSU rRNA". It matches the Rfam family "Bacterial small subunit ribosomal RNA", at positions 355 to 774 of the family's 1533-position model. Lineage: Bacteria; Pseudomonadati; Pseudomonadota; Gammaproteobacteria; Enterobacterales; Enterobacteriaceae. The record is from RNAcentral.
UGGGGAAUAUUGCACAAUGGGCGCAAGCCUGAUGCAGCCAUGCCGCGUGUAUGAAGAAGGCCUUCGGGUUGUAAAGUACUUUCAGCGGGGAGGAAGGUGUUGCGGUUAAUAACCGCAGCAAUUGACGUUACCCGCAGAAGAAGCACCGGCUAACUCCGUGCCAGCAGCCGCGGUAAUACGGAGGGUGCAAGCGUUAAUCGGAAUUACUGGGCGUAAAGCGCACGCAGGCGGUCUGUCAAGUCGGAUGUGAAAUCCCCGGGCUCAACCUGGGAACUGCAUUCGAAACUGGCAGGCUAGAGUCUUGUAGAGGGGGGUAGAAUUCCAGGUGUAGCGGUGAAAUGCGUAGAGAUCUGGAGGAAUACCGGUGGCGAAGGCGGCCCCCUGGACAAAGACUGACGCUCAGGUGCGAAAGCGUGGGGAGCAAACA